RNAcentral lists this ribosomal RNA (490 nucleotides) under uncultured bacterium. Its description in RNAcentral is "partial 16S ribosomal RNA". It matches the Rfam family "Bacterial small subunit ribosomal RNA", at positions 30 to 507 of the family's 1533-position model. The record is from RNAcentral.
AUUGAACGCUGGCGGCAGGCCUAACACAUGCAAGUCGAACGGUAACAGGAAGCAGCUUGCUGCUUUGCUGACGAGUGGCGGACGGGUGAGUAAUGUCUGGGAAACUGCCUGAUGGAGGGGGAUAACUACUGGAAACGGUAGCUGAUACCGCAUAACGUCGCAAGACCAAAGAGGGGGACCUUCGGGCCUCUUGCCAUCGGAUGUGCCCAGAUGGGAUUAGCUAGUAGGUGGGGUAACGGCUCACCUAGGCGACGAUCCCUAGCUGGUCUGAGAGGAUGACCAGCCACACUGGAACUGAGACACGGUCCAGACUCCUACGGGAGGCAGCAGUGGGGAAUAUUGCACAAUGGGCGCAAGCCUGAUGCAGCCAUGCCGCGUGUAUGAAGAAGGCCUUCGGGUUGUAAAGUACUUUCAGCGGGGAGGAAGGGAGUAAAGUUAAUACCUUUGCUCAUUGACGUUACCCGCAGAAGAAGCACCGGCUAACUCCGUG